GGGCGCAAGCCUGAUGCAGCCAUGCCGCGUGUGUGAAGAAGGCCUUCGGGUUGUAAAGCACUUUCAGUCGUGAGGAAGGUGGUAGUGUUAAUAGCACUAUCAUUUGACGUUAGCGACAGAAGAAGCACCGGCUAACUCCGUGCCAGCAGCCGCGGUAAUACGGAGGGUGCGAGCGUUAAUCGGAAUUACUGGGCGUAAAGCGCAUGCAGGUGGUUUGUUAAGUCAGAUGUGAAAGCCCGGGGCUCAACCUCGGAAUUGCAUUUGAAACUGGCAGACUAGAGUACUGUAGAGGGGGGUAGAAUUUCAGGUGUAGCGGUGAAAUGCGUAGAGAUCUGAAGGAAUACCGGUGGCGAAGGCGGCCCCCUGGACAGAUACUGACACUCAGAUGCGAAAGCGUGGGGAGCAAACAGGAUUAGAUACCCUGGUAGUCCACGCCGUAAACGAUGUCUACUUGGAGGUUGUGGCCUUGAGCCGUGGCUUUCGGAGCUAACGCGUUAAGUAGACCGCCUGGGGAGUACGGUCGCAAGAUUAAAACUCAAAUGAAUUGACGGGAA
RNAcentral lists this ribosomal RNA (554 nucleotides) under Vibrio sp. V10(2010b). RNAcentral's name for it is "bacterial SSU rRNA". It matches the Rfam family "Bacterial small subunit ribosomal RNA", at positions 373 to 919 of the family's 1533-position model. Lineage: Bacteria; Pseudomonadati; Pseudomonadota; Gammaproteobacteria; Vibrionales; Vibrionaceae. The record is from RNAcentral.